CGGCACGAUGGCGAUCGAUACGGCAGUAAAAUGUUCAAAGUGAGAUAUUUUGGGAAAAGCUCGACAUGCACAGGAGAGGAAAUGCGAUCGCCGAGCUGACUGGCUCGAGGAGAGACAAGCAUGAAACCUGAUAUCUAAUGUAACGUCGAGCUCCUAAGAGCCAGUCCCCCUGCGAAGACAACCUCUGAGCCCUGAAGACCUCGACACAACGUGUCCCACUACCAGGAGCAGCUGACGUGUCCUGUGUGUCCUGAAGAUGCCGGUGUUUUCAAGGUCGCAUCAGAGUCUGAAGUAUUAUCCAAGAAUGAGCUUCUGCUAAAUCGAAGGAAGACAGGCUGUACCAUGGAUAUUUCCAUGGGAGACCAACUGCUGGAGGACAACCCAAUGUGCACGCCACAACAAUAAUCGAACAUGUACCUUCGUCUGGGCUGAC
RNAcentral lists this long non-coding RNA (433 nucleotides) under Cottoperca gobio. RNAcentral's name for it is "lncRNA (ENSCGOG00000023748.1)". The record is from RNAcentral. Lineage: Eukaryota; Metazoa; Chordata; Actinopteri; Perciformes; Bovichtidae.